Molecule: transfer RNA, 74 nt
Filed under: Eubacterium sp.
Lineage: Bacteria; Bacillati; Bacillota; Clostridia; Eubacteriales; Eubacteriaceae
Description: tRNA-Met
Rfam family: tRNA
About the family: Transfer RNA (tRNA) molecules are approximately 80 nucleotides in length.
Source: RNAcentral
GGCGGGGUAGCUCAGUUGGUGAGAGCACACGGUUCAUACCCGUGGUGUCGCUGGUUCGACUCCAGUUCCCGCUA